RNAcentral lists this unclassified non-coding RNA (595 nucleotides) under Zea mays. Its description in RNAcentral is "misc RNA Zm00001eb368830". The record is from RNAcentral. Lineage: Eukaryota; Viridiplantae; Streptophyta; Magnoliopsida; Poales; Poaceae.
ACUCGCUGUCACUAACACGGAUCUGAAACAAGCAAGGCAACUACAAGUUUACAAAUUUGCAUCAUUUGUUUAUAGCAUAAGGCUAUCUCCAGCAGAUCCCAUAUCACAUCCCUUAUUUCAAACUUCUCUUUGCAAACAAUGUCAUAUACAGUUCCAUGUCCCCUAUUUUACACACUACUGGAGACAGUCUAAGAUACAAGAACAGAUAGAGAGGAAAAUAAUACGCAUCAAACACAUAACAUUUCAAACAAAACCUUGCAAGCCCCAUUUAGAACAAAAGGGAUUAAUACUCAGCCAGUUACAAAAGUAGAUGUUUUCAUCACUUUGGAAUAUGUGUGGUAAAACUUUUUGCAAUUUGUGUGCGAAAACGCAUUAGCCACAGUUUUCACUAAAAUUACUUGUACCAAAAUAUAAAAUGCCUACAGGAACAUAUAAUUAAUACUUAUUGAGCUUUCAGUGAAGAUGGAUCAAGGUCUUUGGUUAUAGGAUUAGAGAUAGAAGGAAAAGAAUCGCAGAUUUGACGUUUGAUGAAGGUUGCACCAUUAAAAGUGAUAAAGUAACAUCAUCAUACCACAAAAGGAUGAACAGUUGCAAA